UACAGAGGUGGCAAGCGUUGUUCGGAUUUACUGGGCGUAAAGGGUGCGUAGGCGGUUCUGUGUGUCGGGUGUGAAAUCCCACGGAUCAUCCGUGGAACUGCAUUCGAAACUACAGGGCUUGAGUACAGGAGAGGAAGGUGGAAUUCUCGGUGUAGCGGUGAAAUGCGUUGAUAUCGAGAGGAACGCCGGAGGCGAAGGCGACCUUCUGGACUGUAACUGACGCUGAGGCACGAAAGCUAGGGGAG
Molecule: ribosomal RNA, 245 nt
Filed under: uncultured bacterium
Lineage: Bacteria
Description: partial 16S ribosomal RNA
Rfam family: Bacterial small subunit ribosomal RNA
Source: RNAcentral